Molecule: ribosomal RNA, 231 nt
Filed under: uncultured bacterium
Lineage: Bacteria
Description: partial 16S ribosomal RNA
Rfam family: Bacterial small subunit ribosomal RNA
Source: RNAcentral
CGGACGGGUGAGUAAUGUCUGGGAAACUGCCGAUGGAGGGGGAUAACUACUGGAAACGGUAGCUAAUACCGCAUAACGUCGCAAGACCAAAGAGGGGGACCUUAGGGCCUCUUGCCAUCGGAUGUGCCCAGAUGGGAUUAGCUAGUAGGUGGGGUAAUGGCUCACCUAGGCGACGAUCCCUAGCUGGUCUGAGAGGAUGACCAGCCACACUGGAACUGAGACACGGUCCAG